Molecule: non-coding RNA, 133 nt
Filed under: chicken gut metagenome
Description: glmS glucosamine-6-phosphate activated ribozyme
Rfam family: glmS glucosamine-6-phosphate activated ribozyme aptamer
About the family: This entry contains a glucosamine-6-phosphate activated ribozyme that is found in the mRNA for GlmS.
Source: RNAcentral
GUUAGCGCCAGAACUAAAUUAUAUGAUUUAGUUGACGAGGUCUAGAGUUAUCGAAAUAUUCGGCGGAUGCUCUAGUGGUUUGUUUACAACCAUAGAUUAAAUUAAAAAAUAAUAGAAAUAUUAUAACAGAAAU